Gavialis gangeticus (Gharial) is the source of this 1786-nucleotide long non-coding RNA. RefSeq lists it as uncharacterized. The transcript is spliced from 2 exons. Lineage: Eukaryota; Metazoa; Chordata; Crocodylia; Gavialidae. The record is from RefSeq and is a predicted model, not a curated record.
AUGAACACAGUCCAAGUUUGAGCGCUUGUUAGCUUCUGCAAGGAUUCCUGAAAAGCCACAGGUCUCUUGUUCAUGCCAAAUAAAUUUUGCUUUGCUGAACUUCAGAACAGUUUCUCCUUGUUGUAACAGUUGUACGUUUUUGCUCCUGCUCUUUUCUUAGAGAAAACAGAUUGCAAAUAUAUAUGGAAAAUAAAAGCAUAGGGCUCCUUUAAAAGUUACAUUUUAAAACAAGUGUAACGGAACUGCUCCAUUACAACUAGUUUGCCAUCUCCCCAAGAAAACUUCUAUGAUAAAUCUGAAGUGAGGCCCGAUUUCAGAAGUUUCAGGAAACAAUUCACAAACCUAGCCCCAAAGAUUCCCUUUUGCUCCCUGAAGCCUUGGGAUCCAGCUGGGGGAAGAAGGACGAGCCAUUUCAAAAGAAUGCUCCCUCUUUUGUUAAUAUCUAAUAAAAGGUAUUGCCUCUACCCAAAGAGUUCAUCUGCUUUUGUGCUUAAACUAACAUGGCUACAUCCUAGACUCCUCUUUUGCUAAUAUUCCUAUUGAAGCCAUUAUCUUGCACUUCCAGUCCCAAGAGUCCAAGAGAGGGGACAGGCACCCUCCAUUACUUACAUCAUUCCUUCUUCAUGCACGUGUGAGCGCCCCCAGUACAAGGCAUAGCAUGGCCUGACAUAUGAAAAACUCCAGCCUCCCUCUUUCUAAUUGAGGUAUCCCAACAAGAGUAUGCAGCACUUGUGUCCUGCACAAGCUACCAGUCAAAUUCUGGGUGAAAUUCAAGGACCAGAAGUUUCACACUAAGGGCAAGCAGUGAAGGACCUAGCUCCUUGGUCCUCCAGCAAAAGAAUCCCAAUUCAUGGCACUCCCUCCCCUUUCCUGCUCCUUUGUGCAACAAGAGCUACACAAAGAAGCCAGCCUGUACGUGAUGGACUGGUCCAAAGCCUAAGAACUGCCUCUCCUUUUCUGAGCCAUUAGAUAGCUGAUGCUCAUCAGGAACUGUAGGAUUCUACAUCCCUAGUCUGAAGAGAGGCAGAAGACAGGGCAGAGUUGUACCUUAUAGACUAACUAGAUCAGAGUUGCAUAGUAAAACCUUUUGUAAGCAUUAGGCUUACCUCAUCAAGUGCUCUGAAGGGACCCAGGAUAGAGCCCAUAGGCCUGAGAAAGCACAUGCUCUUGCUGGCAGGUUUGUGUCUUAAAUCAGCUUUCUCCAGCAAUGCACUGCAGGUCAGAGCUGACCUGGUCAGUCUGACCUGCAAAAGGCAUCGCCUCGUACAGAACUUUCCAAAUCUGGUUUUUCAGCUGAUUUCCCCACUUCUUCCCUCAUUCUAAUAGAUGUCAACAAAGGAUGCAUAUUUGGAAGACAUAAAAUGAAAGUGGGAGCCUUCCCACCCAUCUCUUAUUGAUUAUUAAAUGAAGCCAGGAUGAGAACACGUCGCGAAAAGUGCAUUAGAUGCUUUAAAGGGCUGGAAUUUCUCCUUCAAAAAUACGAUGCCUUGAGGGUAUUUAUGUUUCAUCCACAAUUGCAGGAGGAGGAGAGUGAAAUAAAACAUCAACCCAGCACUUCAUUAUUUUCACAGUCACUCUUCCUAUGCAUUCCCAAUGCAUCACCAAGAAUAAUGUCACUGGAAAGAGAAAGCACAGGCAGAAGAAAUUCUGACCCAAGCCCAAAGAAUGCUGAAAUGCCAUAAGGAAAUUGUCAUAGGAAACUGCAUACAGGUGUCUCUCUCUUUUGUCUAGGUCUGUACAUUUCCUGCAAUGUCUAAAAUAAAAAGUAAUUGGGUCUGAAACCUUU